RNAcentral lists this ribosomal RNA (468 nucleotides) under uncultured bacterium. RNAcentral's name for it is "partial 16S ribosomal RNA". It matches the Rfam family "Bacterial small subunit ribosomal RNA", at positions 28 to 507 of the family's 1533-position model. The record is from RNAcentral.
GACGAACGCUGGCGGCGUGCUUAACACAUGCAAGUCGAACGGAAAGGCCCUGCUUUUGUGGGGUGCUCGAGUGGCGAACGGGUGAGUAACACGUGAGUAACCUGCCCUUGACUUUGGGAUAACUUCAGGAAACUGGGGCUAAUACCGGAUAGGAGCUCCUGCUGCAUGGGGGGGGUUGGAAAGUUUCGGCGGUUGGGGCUGGAUGGGCGGCUUAUCAGCUUGUUGGUGGGGUAGUUGCGUACCAAGGCUUCGACGGGUAGCCGGCCUGAGAGGGGGACCGGCCACAAUGGGACUGAGAGACGGCGCAGACUCCUACGGGAGGCAGCAGUGGGGAGUAUUGCACAAUGGGCGGAAGCCUGAUGCAGCAACGCCGCGUGCGGGAUGACCGCUUUCAGGGUGUAAACCGCUUUCGCCGGUGACGAAGCGUGAGUGACAGUAAUAGGUAAAGAAGCACCGGCUAACUACGUG